RNAcentral lists this ribosomal RNA (460 nucleotides) under uncultured bacterium. RNAcentral's name for it is "partial 16S ribosomal RNA". It matches the Rfam family "Bacterial small subunit ribosomal RNA", at positions 338 to 795 of the family's 1533-position model. The record is from RNAcentral.
CCUACGUGGAGCAGCAGUGAGGAAUAUUGGUCAAUGGGCUUACGCCUGAACCAGCCAAGUCGCGUGAGGGAAGACUGCCCUAUGGUUUGUAAACCUCUUUUGUCAGGGAGCAACGCCGGCUACGUGUAGCCGAACUAAUAGUCCCUCAAGAAAAAGCAUCGGCUAACUCCGUGCCAGAAGCCGCGGUAAUACAGAGGAUGCGAGCGUUAUCCGGAUUUAGUGGGUUUAAAGGGUGAGUAGGCGGAAUGCAAAGUCAGCGGUAAAAUCGCGGGGCUCAACCUCGCUCCGCCGUUGAAACUGGCGUUCUUGAGUGGGCGAGAAGUAUGCGGAAUGCGGGGUGUAGCGGUGAAAUGCAUAGAUAUCACGUAGAACUCCGAUUGCGAAGGCAGCAUACCGGCGCCCAACUGACGCUGAAGCACGAAAGCGUGGGUAUCGAACAGGAUUAGAUACCCGAGUAGUC